CCAAUAGCGUAUAUUAAAGUUGUUGCAGUUAAAAAGCUCGUAGUUGAAUUUCGAGACCGGUCUACUGGUCGUGCUUUUGUACGUACUGGUAUAAUCGGUUUCUCUCUUCUGACAAACUAUAAUGCCAUUCAUUUGGUGUUUUAGGGAAUCAGGACUGUUACUUUGAAAAAAUUAGAGUGUUUAAAGCAGGCUCACGCUUGAAUACAUUAGCAUGGAAUAACGAAAUAGGACGUUUGAUUCUAUUUUGUUGGUUUCUAGGAUCGACGUAAUGAUUAAUAGGGAUAGUUGGGGGCAUUAGUAUUCAAUUGUCAGAGGUGAAAUUCUUGGAUUUAUUGAAGACUAACUACUGCGAAAGCAUUUGCCACGGAUGUUUUCAUUAAUCAAGAACGAAAGUUAGGGGAUCGAAGACGAUCAGAGACCGUCGUAGUCUUAACCAUAAACUAUGCCGACUAGGGAUCGGAUGAUGUUAAAUUAAUGACUCAUUCGGCACCUUACG
This 496-nucleotide ribosomal RNA is filed under the name uncultured Glomeromycotina. RNAcentral describes it as "partial small subunit ribosomal RNA". It matches the Rfam family "Eukaryotic small subunit ribosomal RNA", at positions 591 to 1092 of the family's 1831-position model. Lineage: Eukaryota; Fungi; Glomeromycota. The record is from RNAcentral.